Molecule: ribosomal RNA, 372 nt
Filed under: uncultured organism
Description: partial 16S ribosomal RNA
Rfam family: Bacterial small subunit ribosomal RNA
Source: RNAcentral
GUAGGUGGCAAGCGUUGUCCGGAAUUAUUGGGCGUAAAGCGCGCGCAGGCGGUUCUUCAAGUCUGAUGUGAAAGCCCACGGGCUCAACCGUGGAGGGUCAUUGGAAACUGGAGAACUUGAGUACAGAAGAGGAAAGCGGAAUUCCACGUGUAGCGGUGAAAUGCGUAGAGAUGUGGAGGAACACCAGUGGCGAAGGCGGCUUUCUGGUCUGUAACUGACGCUGAGGCGCGAAAGCGUGGGGAGCAAACAGGAUUAGAUACCCUGGUAGUCCACGCCGUAAACGAUGAGUGCUAAGUGUUAGGGGGUUUCCGCCCCUUAGUGCUGCAGCUAACGCAUUAAGCACUCCGCCUGGGGAGUACGGCCGCAAGGCUG